This 505-nucleotide ribosomal RNA is filed under the name uncultured bacterium. Its description in RNAcentral is "partial 16S ribosomal RNA". It matches the Rfam family "Bacterial small subunit ribosomal RNA", at positions 28 to 507 of the family's 1533-position model. The record is from RNAcentral.
GACGAACGCUGGCGGCGUGCCUAAUACAUGCAAGUAGAACGCACAGUUUAUACCGUAGCUUGCUACACCAUAGACUGUGAGUUGCGAACGGGUGAGUAACGCGUAGGUAACCUGCCUGGUAGCGGGGGAUAACUAUUGGAAACGAUAGCUAAUACCGCAUAAUAUUAAUUAUUGCAUGAUAAUUAAUUGAAAGGUGCAAUUGCACCACUACCAGAUGGACCUGCGUUGUAUUAGCUAGUAGGUGAGGUAACGGCUCACCUAGGCGACGAUACAUAGCCGACCUGAGAGGGGGAUCGGCCGCACUGGGACUGAGACACGGCCCAGACCCCGACGGGAGGCAGCAGUAGGGAAUCUUCGGCAAUGGACGAAAGUCUGACCGAGCAACGCCGCGUGAGUGAAGAAGGUUUUCGGAUCGUAAAGCUCUGUUGUAAGAGAAGAACGGGGGUGAGAGUGGAAAGUUCACACUGUGACGGUAUCUUACCAGAAAGGGACGGCUAACUACGUG